ACCCGAUUAGUUCAGCUGGAUAGAAUGUCUGCCUACGGAGCAGAUGGUCGUAGGUUCGAAUCCUGCAUAGGGUA
This 74-nucleotide transfer RNA is filed under the name Perkinsus marinus ATCC 50983. It matches the Rfam family "tRNA". Rfam says of the family: Transfer RNA (tRNA) molecules are approximately 80 nucleotides in length. Their secondary structure includes four short double-helical elements and three loops (D, anti-codon, and T loops). The record is from Rfam by way of RNAcentral. Lineage: Eukaryota; Perkinsozoa; Perkinsida; Perkinsidae.